Molecule: ribosomal RNA, 358 nt
Filed under: Salmonella enterica subsp. enterica serovar Newport
Lineage: Bacteria; Pseudomonadati; Pseudomonadota; Gammaproteobacteria; Enterobacterales; Enterobacteriaceae
Description: partial 23S ribosomal RNA
Rfam family: Bacterial large subunit ribosomal RNA
Source: RNAcentral
AGGCCGAAAGGCGUAGUCGAUGGGAAACGGGUUAAUAUUCCCGUACUUGGUGUUACUGCGAAGGGGGGACGGAGAAGGCUAUGUUGGCCGGGCGACGGUUGUCCCGGUUUAAGCGUGUAGGUGUGUGUUCCAGGUAAAUCCGGUUCACUUUAACACUGAGGCGUGACGACGAGGCACUACGGUGCUGAAGCAACAAAUGCCCUGCUUCCAGGAAAAGCCUCUAAGCAUCAGGUAACAUCAAAUCGUACCCCAAACCGACACAGGUGGUCAGGUAGAGAAUACCAAGGCGCUUGAGAGAACUCGGGUGAAGGAACUAGGCAAAAUGGUGCCGUAACUUCGGGAGAAGGCACGCUGACAC